RNAcentral lists this long non-coding RNA (2399 nucleotides) under Vigna radiata. RNAcentral describes it as "long non-coding RNA (VRAD_LNC007167)". Lineage: Eukaryota; Viridiplantae; Streptophyta; Magnoliopsida; Fabales; Fabaceae. The record is from RNAcentral.
AAUUUGCCAGGUUGGAAUCCUAAGACUUCGCUCUUCGACCUGAUGGAAUCCACUCUGACCUAUCAGCACAGGACAUAUGCUAAAGCCAUCAAGAAAGUAAUUGCAAAACCCGUUGCAAGUUAAGCUUUUACAGGGAUGGUGAUUUGCUAUCUUGGAGAAGGGUGUCGUUGCGUAAGUUUCUGCCAUAUUUCACUGGUUGAUUUUAUAUAAAUGGUAAAUUUUCUUCCUUUUGGUUUCCUUAGCCAGCAGUAGGCAAUAGCUCACAUAAGUCAUUGUCUUAAUGUAUGUUUUGGAGAAGUAGGAAUUUAUAUAUAGGGAAAUCUAUGUUGUUGUGUAAUUUUAAUGUAUACUUUGCGUUACUAAACAUCUUGAGGCAUUUUAUAAUAUUAGAGAAGAUGUUUUUUAUGUGUUUCUAGGGAUCUCUCCAACAUUGUUUUGUUGUCUUUCCGGGUCAGCUGUAAAUUGUAUCAUUCUGUAUUGAUCCUCUUAAGAGCCAUGUCUUCUUAAUAUUAAUUUUAUUUUAUGUUUUUUUAGUGGUAUAGUUUUAAAUCUUGCUCCAGUUUAUCUUUGUUUAAAUUAAACUAUCUUUUCCCUUCNUUGUCAUACUUAUGUUCUUAUUGUCAAAUAUUUGCAUUGGAUUUUUUUUUCGUAUGCAGUGUAGAAAAUUCGAAACUUUGGUUUGGUAUGCUUUGGGAAUGUAAUAUUCCUCACAAUGUUCUGAAUGCUAGUCCCAAGGUUUGUGAAAUUAUAUUGUUGGUAUCUUUAAAACCCUAAUUCCUCUUUUUUUAGCCAUUAUGUUCCCUCACCUUCUUUGGUUGUUGUUGUUUGAAUCUUUGGUGNUAAGCAGAGCAUUGGCGUGAAUAAUUGAGAAGUUCAUGGAUUUUUUAUUAUGUUUUUUCCCUCUAUUCUGUCUCAUGAUUGCUUGGAGCAACCAUUAGCUUUUUCUUUGUCCAACCAACUCCGAAAGCCUAAUUCUUUGGCUACUCAGCUGAUGGAUAUAUUUUCUACUGUGAUGAAGCAUGAUAAUCUAUGGUGAAUUUUAUUUGAUUGGAAAUUGUUAUUCUCAAAGGAUGAAAGCUUCUUAGUCAUAAUUUCAAUCGUUUAAUUAAUUAGAUUAUGCGUUUUAUCUACUUUGCAUUAUCAUGUAUUACUCAGUUCUUGAAGUAUGUUCUUUCUUCCUGCCAAAUACUGGUCAACUAUGAAUUAAAUUACAAUUGAUUGGAAGUAAUUGGGGUNCUUUUAUUUCUAUCGACAGAGGGUUUAAUAGUAGUGGUUGCAAGUAAUUGAGGUGCUUUUAUUUGAAUAUGUACUACUUCUCUGAUAAGUUUAAUUAGGGAGCAUUUUAUUUCAAUCUUAAUCAUAUGGGUAUUGAAGUAUGUACCUUUACUUGUUCAUUGUGCUGCUUUUCAGUAUUCUAACCUUUACUUUUUCAUUAUGCCGACUAUAUUUGAAAGGGAUAUGUUUGAAAGGUAAGUNUGAAGAUGAUAAGGUAAUGGCAUCAUUGUCCUUUUUUAAAAUUUAUAAUUAUUUUAAUUUUGCUCCUAGUUUUUGGUAUGCCGCUGCAAUUAAAUUCAACUCCUUAUUUUAAUUUUGCUNCUAGUGUAAAUAUAGUUGUAUAUUAAAUACUCUUGUAAAUAAAUUUAUUUUUAAAAGAAAAUUUAAAUGNGUAAUAUUAAAAUAUAAUUUUAGAGAUUAAUUUUGUAAAGAUAACUUUUAUUUUAGAACUAUAAAUAAAAUAUAAAAUUAUAUAAAAUCAAACUUUAAAUUUUUUUUAAAUAAUUAACAUUUUGUUUAAUAAUUUUAGAAAUUCUCAUUCAUGGAUUUUAAACUAUGAUUUUGCUAUCCAUUUCAUCAUAAAGAAAUAAUUAAAUACAAUUAAACACCCGCUUUCCUGAAUGUAUUUUUUUUACUGUGUGUCUGACUUACUGUUUAGGACAAUUAUUUUUCAUAUCUUAUUGGUAAUAUGAUUUUUGGUGAUAAAGUUUACUUGUCAGUAGGUAUCAAACAAAAAAAAAGACUAAGGGUUUGAUGAUAAUGGGAUCGCUCCCAGUUCGGUUCCUAACCUUUGUCCACCAUCCCUCAAGCAUAUGAAGUUGUCAUGGAGGAUGGAAAGUUUUUCUACAAGCAAUCAAGAGAACUCCUAACACCAUUGCAACAUACGAGAUCAAUUUGAUUCAAACUAAGAGACAAGAUAAAGAAUCCUUUAAUUUGCUUUGUUCUUAUUGUAAUUAUUAGUAUUAGAAACAUCCAGACUUUAGUUAUUACUAUGUUUGAGUAAUCGGAUAUUUGAAUUUUAUAGUAUGUGAACUUUAUGUGUGAAAUUAUUAAUCUGAGUUUCUUGGGUUUUGUGGCAAUAUNGAAAAACUUGAUUGCACUUUCCUUGGGUGGGUGNUUGUUAU